AGAGUUUGAUUAUGGCUCAGAACGUACGCUGGCGGCACGCCUAACACAUGCAAGUCGAACGAAGUAGCAAUACUUAGUGGCAGACGGGUGAGUAACAUGUAGGUAUCUGCCCUUUGGCCUGGAAUAACACGAGGAAACUUGUGCUAAUACCGGAUAAGUCUUUACGGAGAAAGCUUUAUGCACCAUUGGAUGAGCCUGCACUUGAUUAGUUUGUUGGUGGGGUAAUGGCCUACCAAGACUGUGAUCAAUAGCUGAUUUGAGAGGAUGAUCAGCCACAUUGGGACUGAGACACGGCCCAAACUCCUACGGGAGGCAGCAGUGGGGAAUCUUGCACAAUGGAGGAAACUCUGAUGCAGCGAUGCCGCGUGAGUGAAGAAGGCCCUUGGGUUGUAAAGCUCUUUCGUCGGGGAAGAAAAUGACUGUACCCGAAUAAGAAGGUCCGGCUAACUUCGUGCCAGCAGCCGCGGUAAUACGAAGGGACCUAGCGUAGUUCGGAAUUACUGGGCUUAAAGAGUUCGUAGGUGGUUGAAAAAGUUAGUGGUGAAAUCCCAGAGCUUAACUCUGGAACUGCCAUUAAAACUUUUCAGCUAGAGUAUGAUAGAGGAAAGCAGAAUUUCUAGUGUAGAGGUGAAAUUCGUAGAUAUUAGAAAGAAUACCAAUUGCGAAGGCAGCUUUUCUGGAUCAUUACUGACACUGAGGAACGAAAGCAUGGGUAGCGAAGAGGAUUAGAUACCCUCGUAGUCCAUGCCGUAAACGAUGUGUGUUAGACGUUGGAAAUUUAUUUUCAGUGUCGCAGGGAAACCGAUAAACACACCGCCUGGGGAGUACGACCGCAAGGUUAAAACUCAAAUGAAUUGACGGGGACCCGCACAAGUAGUGGAGCAUGUGGUUUAAUUCGAAGAUACGCGCAGAACCUUACCAACACUUGACAUGUUCGUCGCGACUCUAAGAGAUUAGAGUUUUCGGUUCGGCCGGACGAAACACAGGUGCUGCAUGGCUGUCGUCAGCUCGUGUCGUGAGAUGUUGGGUUAAGUCCCGCAACGAGCGCAACCCUCACUUUUAGUUGCCAUCAUUAAGUUGGGCACUCUGAAAGAACUGCCAGUGAUAAGCUGGAGGAAGGUGGGGAUGACGUCAAGUCCUCAUGGCCCUUACGUGUUGGGCUACACACGUGCUACAAUGGUAUCUACAACAGGAAGCAAGACUGCGAAGUUAAGCAAAUCCCUAAAAGAUACCUCAGUUCGGAUUGCACUCUGCAACUCGAGUGCAUGAAGCUGGAAUUACUAGUAAUCGUGGAUCAGCGUGCCACGGUGAAUGCGUUCCCGGGUCUUGUACACACCGCCCGUCACACCAUGGGAGUUGGUUCUACCUUAAGGCAAGGUUUCAAACCCUUGACCACGGUAUAGUCAGCGACUGGGGUGAAGUCGUAACAAGGUA
RNAcentral lists this ribosomal RNA (1434 nucleotides) under uncultured bacterium. RNAcentral's name for it is "bacterial SSU rRNA". It matches the Rfam family "Bacterial small subunit ribosomal RNA". The record is from RNAcentral.